Molecule: ribosomal RNA, 492 nt
Filed under: uncultured bacterium
Lineage: Bacteria
Description: partial 16S ribosomal RNA
Rfam family: Bacterial small subunit ribosomal RNA
Source: RNAcentral
AGUGAACGCUGGCGGUAGGCCUAACACAUGCAAGUCGAACGGCAGCACAGUAAGAGCUUGCUCUUACGGGUGGCGAGUGGCGGACGGGUGAGGAAUACAUCGGAAUCUACUUUUUCGUGGGGGAUAACGUAGGGAAACUUACGCUAAUACCGCAUACGACCUACGGGUGAAAGCAGGGGAUCUUCGGCCCUUGCGCGAUUGAAUGAGCCGAUGUCGGAUUAGCUAGUUGGCGGGGUAAAGGCCCACCAAGGCGACGAUCCGUAGCUGGUCUGAGAGGAUGAUCAGCCACACUGGAACUGAGACACGGUCCAGACUCCUACGGGAGGCAGCAGUGGGGAAUAUUGGACAAUGGGCGCAAGCCUGAUCCAACCAUACCGCGUGGGUGAAGAAGGCCUUCGGGUUGUAAAGCCCUUUUGUUGGGAAAGAAAAGCAGCAGGUUAAUACCCCGCUGUUCUGACGGUACCCAAAGAAUAAGCACCGGCUAACUUCGUG